This 397-nucleotide small RNA is filed under the name Drosophila pseudoobscura pseudoobscura. Its description in RNAcentral is "GA32793". Lineage: Eukaryota; Metazoa; Arthropoda; Insecta; Diptera; Drosophilidae. The record is from RNAcentral.
GGAAAACGAUAUGUACCAUCGAUGGAAGAUCAUAACGGUGCACUUUUUGACAAACAUGGACGAUUUCUUUACCUUUGAUAUCUUUAAAAAGCAGGACAUAAUUUGAUUGCCUUAAAAUUGAUGACAGUUUUUUGAGUCUGUGCCCUUCAUCAUGGAACAGUAACCCAUCUUACUUAAAAAGCAAGACGAGUCUUUCAUUACUUAAGGCAGUAAAUGAUACAGCAGAAAGAGCUGUGAAAUUGAUGAAAGACUCUCACGGCCGUCUAACAGUGGAUGAGGAACAAAAACAUUUUUCGUUGCGUUGCGUUCAGGAGCAUAGAAAAAUGUACCCGGAUUAUAAAAAGGAGACUUUAAAAAGAAAAUAUUCCCAAUAAAAUGAUAGAACUGCGUUCAUUAA